RNAcentral lists this ribosomal RNA (301 nucleotides) under uncultured bacterium. Its description in RNAcentral is "partial 16S ribosomal RNA". It matches the Rfam family "Bacterial small subunit ribosomal RNA", at positions 509 to 807 of the family's 1533-position model. The record is from RNAcentral.
CAGCAGCCACGGUAAUACGAAGGGGGCUAGCGUUGCUCGGAAUCACUGGGCGUAAAGGGUGCGUAGGCGGGUCCUUAAGUCAGGGGUGAAAUCCUGGAGCUCAACUCCAGAACUGCCUUUGAUACUGAAGAUCUUGAGUUCGGGAGAGGUGAGUGGAACUGCGAGUGUAGAGGUGAAAUUCGUAGAUAUUCGCAAGAACACCAGUGGCGAAGGCGGCUUACUGGCUCGAAACUGACGCUGAGGCGCGAAAGCCAGGGGAGCGAACGGGAUUAGAUACCCCCGUAGUCCCUGUCUCUUAUAC